This 482-nucleotide ribosomal RNA is filed under the name uncultured bacterium. Its description in RNAcentral is "bacterial SSU rRNA". It matches the Rfam family "Bacterial small subunit ribosomal RNA", at positions 20 to 518 of the family's 1533-position model. The record is from RNAcentral.
UGGCUCAGGACGAACGCUGGCGGCGUGCCUAACACAUGCAAGUCGAGCGAGGAGAUCCUCGGGAUGAUCCUAGCGGCGGACGGGUGAGUAACACGUGGGCAACCUGCCUCAUAGAGAGGAAUAGCCUUCCGAAAGGGAGAUUAAUACCUCAUAACAUUGCAGUUUCGCAUGGAACAGCAAUUAAAGGAGCAAUCCGCUAUGAGAUGGGGCCCCGCGGCGCAUUAGCUAGUUGGUGAGGUAACGGCUCACCAAGGCGACGAUGCGUAGCCGACCUGAGAGGGUGAUCGGCCACAUUGGGACUGAGACACGGCCCAGACUCCUACGGGAGGCAGCAGUGGGGAAUAUUGCACAAUGGGGGAAACCCUGAUGCAAGCAACGCCGCGUGAGUGAUGACGGCCUUCGGGUUGUAAAGCUCUGUCUUCAGGGACGAUAAUGACGGUACCUGAGGAGGAAGCCACGGCUAACUACGUGCCAGCAGCGGC